Long non-coding RNA from Spinacia oleracea (spinach), 1469 nucleotides. RefSeq lists it as uncharacterized. The record is from RefSeq and is a predicted model, not a curated record. NCBI's taxonomy places the organism in Eukaryota, Viridiplantae, Streptophyta, Magnoliopsida, Caryophyllales, Amaranthaceae. The transcript is spliced from 3 exons.
UGAAUUUUCUGUCCUUAGAAAAUUUAUUUGCUUAAAUACGGACUAAUCGUCCUGUUUCCGUGGUUCGUGGUCGAUUUCGAUCUGAAUUAGCCCCUCUCUCUCUCUCUCUAAUCUAUUAUCUAUUACUAUUUACUAAAAGAGACACCAUGAAUGACACGUGUCAAUUUCUGGUGGAAAACUUUCCCGCUAAUUUUUUUCCCCUUUUUAUUCAUUUAUUUAUUUCUAUGUUUUCUUAUGCAAAAGAUUAAGUAUAUUUGAUUAAAUUUUUAUAAUUCCCUAUUCAUUUUAUCUUCAAUAUAUAAAUUUUCAUCUACUCCGUAUAAUUUUAUUUCUCUAAAAAUAAUAUUUGUAAAAUACAAACUUUAUUAUCUUCUGAAAAUCUGUCAGGAUCUUUUAUACUUCGUAUUACUUUCUUUUUGAACUUUUUUUAAACUCAAAUAUUUUAUAAAAGUAGUCAAAUAAUAAAUUUAAAAUAUCCGUGCGUGCACGAGAUCUAAUCUAAUUUCCUUGCUAAUCGCGACUUGGUCGAUAUUGGUUUAGGACUUUGGGUUUAGACCAUUGGGCCUUCUCUUAGCCAUUUCCUAAAGGGUUCCCUUUUUAGGUGCAAUGGAAAUUUCGCAUUAAUUAAUUUAAAAUUACACAAUACGGAGUAUCUAAAAUUAACAUUUACAGUUUCAUCAAUUUUUUAUGUACAACCGGUAAACAUGGUAUAUAAUUAAGAAUGGAGAAUUUAGUGCAUUGAUCGAAGAACUCUAUUCUUUGCUUUUCUAAAAAGAAUACAAAUACGUACAAAACAUGUGUUAGGUACGUUGAAUAGCUGGAGAUAUGAGAAUUUGACCUUGUAUCUUGCUUGGGAAAUUCCUACAAAUUGAGCUCAAAGGCUCUUGUCUAGUUACCAUAGAAGAGUAUGUUUGACUACAUACGAGUCAACUGCAGUAUAUGAAUUUGUCCUUAAACAAAUUGGAAAUAGGUCCCGAGAUCCUUUGAUGGACAAUGCUAAGUUGAGGAGUGCCUAAGUUGGACAAACUAAGCAAUGGAACAUAUACAAGCAACACAAUCAAUGUCAGACACUACUGUGAAGAAUCAAUCAUUUUACAAGAAUCGGAACCUGAGUUCCUAAGGUGGUUCCUCGUAUAUCAUGAGGAACUUCGAUGUUCCACAGAAGGAACAAUGCGUGAAGUCUUCGAGUGAAACUUCUAAGAGAUGCAGCGUGAAAGCUACACCAUAUGCGUUUAUAUUUAGGUUUUAUUUAGAAGCAGUAACUGUUGGUGGAAGUUGAGGGAAACAUGAGAACUAACCAACGGAAGCUCAUCUAUAAAAGGACAAGAAAUUUCAUUUCUCAAAUCACAAUUGACAACACAUCAAUACCUAGUAUUUAAAAAACCAAAUCACUCAUGACAUGAUGACAUUUGGCAUCUCAUCCCUGUGUUCCUCUUUUUAUUUUUAAAAUCCACUUAUGACACGUGGCA